UCUCUUUGCGCGUUAUAAUUC
Molecule: non-coding RNA, 21 nt
Filed under: Caenorhabditis elegans
Lineage: Eukaryota; Metazoa; Nematoda; Chromadorea; Rhabditida; Rhabditidae
Source: RNAcentral